UGCUUACCAAUGAUGUUUUAAAAUAAUGUCUGAACUAAUGAAUUGCCAGUGAUAUUACUUUAGUACUGAGGUAAGCC
Chanos chanos (milkfish) is the source of this 77-nucleotide small nucleolar RNA. RefSeq annotates it as small nucleolar RNA SNORD72. NCBI's taxonomy places the organism in Eukaryota, Metazoa, Chordata, Actinopteri, Gonorynchiformes, Chanidae. The transcript has a single exon. The record is from RefSeq and is a predicted model, not a curated record.